RNAcentral lists this ribosomal RNA (439 nucleotides) under uncultured bacterium. RNAcentral describes it as "partial 16S ribosomal RNA". It matches the Rfam family "Bacterial small subunit ribosomal RNA", at positions 339 to 795 of the family's 1533-position model. The record is from RNAcentral.
CUACGGGCGGCUGCAGUGGGGAAUAUUGCACAAUGGGCGAAAGCCUGAUGCAGCAACGCCGCGUGGAGGAUGACACAUUUCGGUGCGUAAACUCCUUUUAUAUAAGAAGAUAAUGACGGUAUUAUAUGAAUAAGCACCGGCUAACUCCGUGCCAGCAGCCGCGGUAAUACGGGGGGUGCAAGCGUUACUCGGAAUCACUGGGCGUAAAGAGCAUGUAGGCUGGAUGACAAGUUGGAAGUGAAAUCCUAUGGCUUAACCAUAGAACUGCUUCCAAAACUGUCUUCCUAGAGUAUGGGAGAGGUAGAUGGAAUUUCUGGUGUAGGGGUAAUAUCCGUAGAGAUCAGAAGGAAUACCGAUUGCGAAGGCGAUCUACUGGAACAUUACUGACGCUCAGAUGCGAAAGCGUGGGGAGCAAACAGGAUUAGAUACCCCAGUAGUC